RNAcentral lists this long non-coding RNA (442 nucleotides) under Ananas comosus (pineapple). Its description in RNAcentral is "long non-coding RNA (ACOM_LNC005522)". Lineage: Eukaryota; Viridiplantae; Streptophyta; Magnoliopsida; Poales; Bromeliaceae. The record is from RNAcentral.
CAGUGUUCUUAGGUGCCAUUUCUCCCUGCAAGGGAAUAACGAGUGUCGAUUAGAUAUUUAUCAUUCAAUUCUAUUAGCAUAACAUUGGUCUCAAAGAUGGAAGGAGAAGCCAGGUCCCACUGGGCGUGCCAUUUUGUCUGCCACCACGAAUGACGCACCUCGCACGAGAAAUUUUAUUUUGAUUUUACCGUGGGGUAGUAUUCAUGAUGUAGAUUAAAGUAUGUGUAUGUAUGGUUAUCAGGUAUUGUGGAUCCAUGGCUUCCAAUAAACGCAAGCGUUUAUUGUUAAUUAUCCCUACAAAGUGUUAGGGCACCUUCGAUUAAGAGACCUUUGUAAUGCUGUGAUUAAAUAAAACAUAAUUCAGUAUGACGGUCGAUUGACCAAGAUAUUAUUCAUCCUAAGAUGAAAGGUUGGUUAAAUUCCCAGUAUAUACAUUGGAAUC